RNAcentral lists this ribosomal RNA (253 nucleotides) under uncultured bacterium. RNAcentral describes it as "partial 16S ribosomal RNA". It matches the Rfam family "Bacterial small subunit ribosomal RNA", at positions 524 to 776 of the family's 1533-position model. The record is from RNAcentral.
UACGAAGGGUGCAAGCGUUACUCGGAAUUACUGGGCGUAAAGCGUGCGUAGGUGGUUUGUUAAGUCUGAUGUGAAAGCCCUGGGCUCAACCUGGGAAUGGCAUUGGAUACUGGCGAGCUAGAGUGCGGUAGAGGGUAGUGGAAUUCCCGGUGUAGCAGUGAAAUGCGUAGAGAUCGGGAGGAACAUCUGUGGCGAAGGCGACUACCUGGACCAGCACUGACACUGAGGCACGAAAGCGUGGGGAGCAAACGGG